RNAcentral lists this small RNA (465 nucleotides) under Alternaria alternata. RNAcentral's name for it is "eukaryotic LSU rRNA". The stretch from base 148 to 301 matches the Rfam family "5.8S ribosomal RNA". The record is from RNAcentral. Lineage: Eukaryota; Fungi; Ascomycota; Dothideomycetes; Pleosporales; Pleosporaceae.
CUGGAACCUCUCGGGGUUACAGCCUUGCUGAAUUAUUCACCCUUGUCUUUUGCGUACUUCUUGUUUCCUUGGUGGGUUCGCCCACCACUAGGACAAACAUAAACCUUUUGUAAUUGCAAUCAGCGUCAGUAACAAAUUAAUAAUUACAACUUUCAACAACGGAUCUCUUGGUUCUGGCAUCGAUGAAGAACGCAGCGAAAUGCGAUAAGUAGUGUGAAUUGCAGAAUUCAGUGAAUCAUCGAAUCUUUGAACGCACAUUGCGCCCUUUGGUAUUCCAAAGGGCAUGCCUGUUCGAGCGUCAUUUGUACCCUCAAGCUUUGCUUGGUGUUGGGCGUCUUGUCUCUAGCUUUGCUGGAGACUCGCCUUAAAGUAAUUGGCAGCCGGCCUACUGGUUUCGGAGCGCAGCACAAGUCGCACUCUCUAUCAGCAAAGGUCUAGCAUCCAUUAAGCCUUUUUUUCAACUUU